Molecule: ribosomal RNA, 468 nt
Filed under: uncultured bacterium
Lineage: Bacteria
Description: partial 16S ribosomal RNA
Rfam family: Bacterial small subunit ribosomal RNA
Source: RNAcentral
AACGAACGCUGGCGGCGUGCUUAACACAUGCAAGUCGAACGGAAAGGCCCUGCUUUUUUGGGGUUCUCGAGUGGCGAACGGGUGCGUAACACGUGAGUAACCUGCCCUUGACUUUGGGAUAACUUCAGGAAACUGGGGCUAAUCCCGUAUAGGAGCUCCUGCUGCAUUGUGGGCGUUGGAAAGUUUCGGCGGUUGGGGAUGGACGCGCGGCUUAUCAACUUGUUGGUUGGGUAGUUGCUUACCCAGGCGUUGACGGGUAGCCGGCCUGAGAGGGGGAACGGCCACAAUGGGACUGAGAUACGGCGCAGACUCCUAUGGGAGGCAGCAGGGGGGAGUAUUGCACAAUGGGCGGGAGCCUGAGGCAGCAACGCCGCGUGCGGGAUGACGGCCUUCGGGUUGUAAACCGCUUUCGCCUGUGACGAAGCGGGAGUGACGGUAAUGGGUAAAGAAGCACCGGCUAACUACGUG